Molecule: ribosomal RNA, 393 nt
Filed under: Triticum aestivum (bread wheat)
Lineage: Eukaryota; Viridiplantae; Streptophyta; Magnoliopsida; Poales; Poaceae
Description: partial small subunit ribosomal RNA
Source: RNAcentral
AUGGUCAAGACGAGGAGCGAGAGGGGUAGGAUAGCUUCCGGCUCAGAGCCGCCCUCCAGGUCCGCCGGUGGAAAGCUGAAGAGGACCCGCUUUCAUGGCCGGUUUGGCACGAAGUCCUUUCAUGGUGGCAGUCCACAACUCCCCCGACAGCCCACGGCUUCCUUCACCGACUGGUGUGCGUACUCGUGUUCCCACGCUCCUGACUCCCACCGUCGAGGUCUCUCCUUCAUCGUUAUCGUCACAGAGUGGUAUCUGUGGAAGCACCGCAAUGCAUACAUUUUCGAUCAUUCUCGCCCCUCCGUCAACUACGUGAUGCAAUUCAUCCAUGAAGACGGGAGAUGUUGGGCCAAAGCCGGCACCACCAGGAUAGGUAACACCAUUCCCGAGGUUUAG